RNAcentral lists this ribosomal RNA (253 nucleotides) under uncultured bacterium. Its description in RNAcentral is "partial 16S ribosomal RNA". It matches the Rfam family "Bacterial small subunit ribosomal RNA", at positions 524 to 776 of the family's 1533-position model. The record is from RNAcentral.
UACGAAGGGGGCUAGCGUUGUUCGGAAUUACUGGGCGUAAAGCGCACGUAGGCGGAUAUUUAAGUCAGGGGUGAAAUCCCAGAGCUCAACUCUGGAACUGCCUUUGAUACUGGGUAUCUCGAGUAUGGAAGAGGUGAGUGGAAUUCCGAGUGUAGAGGUGAAAUUCGUAGAUAUUAGGAAGAACACCAGUGGCGAAGGCGGUCUCCUGGGGCAUUCUUGACGCUGAGGCGCGAAAGCUGGGGGAGCAAACGGG